GCGGGGGUAGCCAAGUGGUCAAAGGCGCUGGCUUUAGGAGCCAGUCCUCUAGCGGUUCGCAGGUUCGAAUCCUGUCCCCCGCA
This 83-nucleotide transfer RNA is filed under the name Nanohaloarchaea archaeon SW_10_44_10. RNAcentral describes it as "tRNA-Leu". It matches the Rfam family "tRNA". From Rfam's summary of the family: Transfer RNA (tRNA) molecules are approximately 80 nucleotides in length. Their secondary structure includes four short double-helical elements and three loops (D, anti-codon, and T loops). RNAcentral also lists the same sequence under 1 other name. Lineage: Archaea; Methanobacteriati; Methanobacteriota; Candidatus Nanohaloarchaea. The record is from RNAcentral.